GCCUCCCCGGGACCCAGGCUUCGUCUCAGCCCCGGUCUCACCGUGACCAGGACGCAGUGGAGCAGAAAGCCUGGAUCAGGGUGAAGUGGAUCUGCAGCGCCGCGUCGCCGGCUUCUUCCUCGUCCGCCGCCAGCAGGCACAGCACCACGUUGUCCGGGUCCCUGCGGGGACACCGCGGUCAGCGACCACAGCCCGCCCGCCUGGCCAGGCGCCGGAGCCCUGCCUGACCCCUCGGUGGCAUUUCAGCUCCGAGUUCCUCAGAGAGACAGCGGCAAGAACGUGGGCCAGAGGCCUCCCCAGCUGCUGUGUUUGUCCGGGGGGUGAUGCACAACUGUAAAGUGCAGUCCUGACCAGGAAAGGCCGGAGGAGAGAGCUGCCACGUAAACGUCUGGGUUGGGAUUUCUGCAGCGCUACGCCGGGUGUGCCUGUCCAGUGAGGCAGAAGUUAUCAGCGCGAAUGUGGCGAUCAAUGAAUUUUCAAAUACGAAGUGCCUGAAAACUGGGCCCCGUGUGGCUAGUAAUUUGGCCUCUUUAUUGCAAAUGCCCACAUGCGAGCGGACAGCGUGUGACAAAGCACGCGGCUUCCUACCGUGCACCCUUCAACUUUGUUUUCUUGCUGUGUGGAAUAAAUACAUCUGGUUGUUGGUGAUCAUAUACACAUGAUAGCCGGUUUAUUUCUCAGUUUAUAUUAAAAUAUUUUGAAUCUG
Molecule: long non-coding RNA, 706 nt
Organism: Cygnus atratus (black swan)
Lineage: Eukaryota; Metazoa; Chordata; Aves; Anseriformes; Anatidae
Exons: 3
Source: RefSeq, a predicted model, not a curated record